AAAAAUAGCUUUUGACCGAAAAGAAAGAGAGUUCAGAAAACUACAACGACAAGUAAAAAAGAUGGAUGAUUACGGAAAAGCUUUUUGUGAACAUAAGCCCAUGCCUGUCGAAAACUCUUUCUUAGGCCUUAUGUCUUUCCCUUCUUAUUUCACAAAACCAGAUAGACCUUCUUCGUUCUACCAUACUUACGUCUCAUCUCCUCCACAACAGAAG
RNAcentral lists this long non-coding RNA (214 nucleotides) under Lathyrus oleraceus (garden pea). Its description in RNAcentral is "Pisum sativum (pea) long non-coding RNA (PSAT_LNC009043)". The record is from RNAcentral. Lineage: Eukaryota; Viridiplantae; Streptophyta; Magnoliopsida; Fabales; Fabaceae.